This 212-nucleotide ribosomal RNA is filed under the name Clostridioides difficile. RNAcentral describes it as "partial 16S ribosomal RNA". It matches the Rfam family "Bacterial small subunit ribosomal RNA", at positions 1331 to 1533 of the family's 1533-position model. The record is from RNAcentral. Lineage: Bacteria; Bacillati; Bacillota; Clostridia; Peptostreptococcales; Peptostreptococcaceae.
GUUACUAGUAAUCGCAGAUCAGAAUGCUGCGGUGAAUGCGUUCCCGGGUCUUGUACACACCGCCCGUCACACCACGGGCGUUGGAGACGCCCGAAGCCGAUUAUCUAACCUUUUGGAAGAAGUCGUCGAAGGUGGAAUCAAUAACUGGGGUGAAGUCGUAACAAGGUAGCCGUAUCGGAAGGUGCGGCUGGAUCACCUCCUUUCUAAGGAGA